Molecule: ribosomal RNA, 120 nt
Organism: Gossypium arboreum
Lineage: Eukaryota; Viridiplantae; Streptophyta; Magnoliopsida; Malvales; Malvaceae
Source: Rfam
GGGUGCGAUCAUACCAGCACUAAUGCACCGGAUCCCAGCAGAACUCCGCAGUUUAAGCGUGCUUGGGAGAGAGUAGUACUAGGAUGGGUGACUUGGUGAGAAGUCCUCGUGUUGCACCCC